AAUAAAACAAAAUAAAAAAAGAUUAAUGAAAUAAGAUAAACCAGUCAUGGGUUCAAACAUUAAUAUGUGAUUAAAAAAAAAUAAACAUGGGUCUAACGCCCAAUUCCAACCUACUUAAAACCUAAAACAAACUCUAAAAUAAAUAAAAAUGAUAACAUAAAAUAGUAGGAGAAAACAAGUGAUAAAUAAAAGUAAAUAUAGCAUAAAAAUAAACAUGGGUCUAACGCCCAAUUCCAACCUACUUAAAACCUAAAACAAACUCUAAAAUAAAUAAAAAUGAUAACAUAAAAUAGUAGGAGAAAACAAGUGAUAAAUAAAAGUAAAUAUAGCAUAUGAAAUACUGUAAAUGAGAGUAAGGACGGUACACCUCCUGUUCCAAAACUUUUGAAUUUCAAAAUGCCAUGUGACCAUAAAGAAUAUUAAAAAAAAAAAGAAAAAAAAAAAA
Molecule: long non-coding RNA, 445 nt
Filed under: Lathyrus oleraceus (garden pea)
Lineage: Eukaryota; Viridiplantae; Streptophyta; Magnoliopsida; Fabales; Fabaceae
Description: Pisum sativum (pea) long non-coding RNA (PSAT_LNC008316)
Source: RNAcentral